GACGAACGCUGGCGGCGUGCUUAACACAUGCAAGUCGAACGGAAAGGCCCCUUUGGGGGUACUCGAGUGGCGAACGGGUGAGUAACACGUGAGUAACCUGCCCUUGACUUCGGGAUAACUUCAGGAAACUGGGGCUAAUACCGGAUAGGAAUCCUUGCCGCAUGGUGGGGGUUGGAAAGCUUCGGCGGUUUUGGAUGGACUCGCGGCUUAUCAGCUUGUUGGUGGGGGAGUGGCUUACCAAGGCUUUGACGGGUAGCCGGCCUGAGAGGGCGACCGGCCACAUUGGGACUGAGAUACGGCCCAGACUCCUACGGGAGGCAGCAGGGGGGAAUAUUGCACAAUGGGCGGAAGCCUGAUGCAGCAACGCCGCGGGCGGGAUGACGGCCUUCGGGUUGUAAACCGCUUUCAGCAGGGGCGAAGCUUGUGGUGACGGUACCUGCAGAAGAAGCACCGGCUAACUACGUG
RNAcentral lists this ribosomal RNA (465 nucleotides) under uncultured bacterium. Its description in RNAcentral is "partial 16S ribosomal RNA". It matches the Rfam family "Bacterial small subunit ribosomal RNA", at positions 28 to 507 of the family's 1533-position model. The record is from RNAcentral.